GGAGGAUUACUCAAGAGGCUGAAGAGGACGGUUUGCUAAAUCGUUAGGGCUCGUUAGGGCGGGUUACCGUCGCUAGGGUUCGAAUCCCUAAUCCUCCGCCA
This 101-nucleotide transfer RNA is filed under the name Veillonella sp. RNAcentral's name for it is "tRNA-Ser". It matches the Rfam family "tRNA". Rfam says of the family: Transfer RNA (tRNA) molecules are approximately 80 nucleotides in length. Their secondary structure includes four short double-helical elements and three loops (D, anti-codon, and T loops). Further hydrogen bonds mediate the characteristic L-shaped molecular structure. tRNAs have two regions of fundamental functional importance: the anti-codon, which is responsible for specific mRNA codon recognition, and the 3' end, to which the tRNAs corresponding amino acid is attached (by aminoacyl-tRNA synthetases). tRNAs cope with the degeneracy of the genetic code in two manners: having more than one tRNA (with a specific anti-codon) for a particular amino acid; and 'wobble' base-pairing, i.e. permitting non-standard base-pairing at the 3rd anti-codon position. Lineage: Bacteria; Bacillati; Bacillota; Negativicutes; Veillonellales; Veillonellaceae. The record is from RNAcentral.